UUAUUCUUUAUCUUUCGCCAAAAUAAUAUGAUAAAUUAUUUAGAAUUAUCUAUGUUGUCAAUUUGAUUUUAUUCAUAUUUGUAUUUUUUAAAAAUUUAAAUAGUAAGAAUAAAAUUAUUUAAUGUUUUUUUACCAGCGAUUCAGUAAGUCAUUUAUUUUUAUUUUAAAAUCAUUUUUAAAAAAAAAACUCCUUUAACCAUUGGUGGAGUACCACUUGAUUUUUAUUUUCAUUUUUCUUUUUCUUUUUUCUUUUUUUUUCUCUCUCCACUUCUUUUCCUUUCUUUCUUUUAUUUUUUCUCUCUCCGCUCUUUCCUUCUUUUCUCUCUCCACAUUUUCUUCUUUUUCCUCUCACUCUCAGGAUUCUCUUUUUCUUCUUUCUCUCUUUCCCUCUCUCUUUCCUCUUUUCUUUCUACCUUUUCUUCACACCCACACUUACACAAAAAUAUCUAGCAUAAAAUAUAUUAAAUGUCUUUCAUCAAAAACUCACUCUUUCUCUACUAUUCCUAAACCGUCUAACACAUAAUAUCUCUUCCAAAUCUCAUUUCAUCACCACAAAAAGAAGUUUU
Molecule: long non-coding RNA, 566 nt
Filed under: Lathyrus oleraceus (garden pea)
Lineage: Eukaryota; Viridiplantae; Streptophyta; Magnoliopsida; Fabales; Fabaceae
Description: Pisum sativum (pea) long non-coding RNA (PSAT_LNC014471)
Source: RNAcentral